Molecule: ribosomal RNA, 460 nt
Filed under: uncultured bacterium
Lineage: Bacteria
Description: partial 16S ribosomal RNA
Rfam family: Bacterial small subunit ribosomal RNA
Source: RNAcentral
CCUACGUGUGGCAGCAGUGAGGAAUAUUGGUCAAUGGACUUACGCCUGAACCAGCCAAGUCGCGUGAGGGAAGACUGCCCUAUGGGUUGUAAACCUCUUUUGUCAGGGAGCAACGCCGGCUACGUGUAGCCGGACUGAGAGUACCUGAAGAAAAAGCAUCGGCUAACUCCGUGCCAGCAGCCGCGGUAAUACGGAGGAUGCGAGCGUUAUCCGGAUUUAUUGGGUUUAAAGGGUGCGUAGGCGGAAUAUCAAGUCAGCGGUAAAAAUUCGGGGCUCAACCCCGUCGUGCCGUUGAAACUGAUGUUCUUGAGUGGGCGAGAAGUAUGCGGAAUGCGUGGUGUAGCGGUGAAAUGCAUAGAUAUCACGCAGAACUCCGAUUGCGAAGGCAGCAUACCGGCGCCCAACUGACGCUGAAGCACGAAAGCGUGGGUAUCGAACAGGAUUAGAUACCCGAGUAGUC